GAUCAUGGCUCAGGAUGAACGCUGGCGGCGUGCUUAACACAUGCAAGUCGAGCGAAGCAAUUUAAGUGAAGUUUUCGGAUGGAUCUUAAAUUGACUGAGCGGGCGGACGGGGUGAGGUAACGCGUGGAUAACCUGCCUCACACAGGGGGAUAACAGUUAGAAAUGACUGCUAAUACCGCAUAAGCGCACAGUACCGCAUGGUACAGUGUGAAAAACUCCGGUGGU
This 225-nucleotide ribosomal RNA is filed under the name uncultured bacterium. Its description in RNAcentral is "partial 16S ribosomal RNA". It matches the Rfam family "Bacterial small subunit ribosomal RNA", at positions 15 to 219 of the family's 1533-position model. The record is from RNAcentral.